CCUCGCGACGUUCAGCGCCGGCAUGAAGCGCAGCGUGUCGAGCUGCGGCGCGUUGAGGAGCACGCCGGCUUCGAACGCCUGCGCGACGA
This 89-nucleotide transfer RNA is filed under the name Bradyrhizobium ottawaense. RNAcentral's name for it is "tRNA-Asp". The record is from RNAcentral. Lineage: Bacteria; Pseudomonadati; Pseudomonadota; Alphaproteobacteria; Hyphomicrobiales; Nitrobacteraceae.